RNAcentral lists this unclassified non-coding RNA (381 nucleotides) under uncultured bacterium. Its description in RNAcentral is "contains 16S-23S intergenic spacer region". The record is from RNAcentral.
UCCGUUUUAUCAACGGCAGUCUCAACAGAGUUCCCGGCAUUACCCGAUGGCAACUGUUGAUAAGGGUUGCGCUCGUUGCGGGACUUAACCCAACAUCUCGCGACACGAGCUGACGACAGCCAUGCUGCACCUGUGUCCAGGUCCCGUAAGGGAAGGAAUCCACCUCUGGAAACCGUCCUGGCAUGUCAAACGCUGGUAAGGUUCUGCGCGUUGCUUCGAAUUGAACCACAUGCUCCACCGCUUGUGCGGGCCCCCGUCAAUUCCUUUGAGUUUUAGCCUUGCGGCCGUACUCCCCAGGCGGGGCACUUAAUGCGUUAGCUUCGGCACGGAGGGAGUCGACACCCCCCACACCUAGUGCCCAUCGUUUACAGCGUGGACUAC